ACUGGGAGUCGUGGCGUGCUCCUGUAAUCCAGCUACUUGGAGGUCGGGUAAUCUGGAUGGUUUGAGGCUGGGAGUCCUGGUUGGCAGUUCUCUGCGUCGACCCGAGCGUCCGCACUAAGCUUGUCAUCAAUAUGGUAACCCUGGAGGAGUCCGGGGUAACCAGGUUGGCUAAGGAGGGGCGAACCGGGCCAGGGGGGAAACCCAGCAGCCAAAAGUCCCCGUGGUGAGCAGUAGUGGGAUAGCGCUUGGGAGUAGGGUCUGUCAGUCAGCCCAGCCAAUAGAAUCGGACAGUUACCUUU
Molecule: signal recognition particle RNA, 299 nt
Filed under: Bemisia tabaci
Lineage: Eukaryota; Metazoa; Arthropoda; Insecta; Hemiptera; Aleyrodidae
Description: metazoan signal recognition particle RNA
Rfam family: Metazoan signal recognition particle RNA
About the family: The signal recognition particle (SRP) is a universally conserved ribonucleoprotein. It is involved in the co-translational targeting of proteins to membranes.
Source: RNAcentral